Papaver somniferum (opium poppy) is the source of this 754-nucleotide long non-coding RNA. RefSeq lists it as uncharacterized. The transcript is spliced from 4 exons. Lineage: Eukaryota; Viridiplantae; Streptophyta; Magnoliopsida; Ranunculales; Papaveraceae. The record is from RefSeq and is a predicted model, not a curated record.
UAUUGCAGGGCUAGCUGUCUUCUCUUGCAUGCCAAGAACAUUGUCAAGUGGCGUGGCAUUGAACACAGGUACACUGGCUCAAUGCUCUGUGAUGUAUUUAGUUUUAAAUUUAGCAAAGGGAUCAUGAAUAUUUACAGCUUUUGCGCUGGUGGGAAUACCGCUCUGGCUCUUGCAAUGUGUAGGACUUACCGAAGGCUCUGACUGAAGGUGAGCAAAGAGCUUGGAGGAUGCACUUAUUACACAUAAAAUACUAUUAAACUGAAGCUUGCAGGUUAACAACGGCGACUCCAUUAUGGCACUAAGGUGAUGCAGAAUCUUCCGAUAGAGCACCAAACAUUGCUGUUUAGUGCAACUAUGCCUGUAGAAAUUGAAGCUCUUGCACAUGAGUACCUUACUGAUCCAGUGCAAGUAAAGGUUGGAAAAGUAAGUAGUGCUACAGCAAAUGUGUCUCAAAUGCUGCAGAAGGUUCCUGAGAAUGAGAAGGUCAGCAACAUAGGUCAUACUCGCACUUUCGGUUAUAGUUGCAAAUAAAAUUUGGUACUUAGAAGAAUUUAAGAUCUUUUGUGUAUGAAUCCUUGUAUGAAUCCAUUUGAAUGUGAUAAGAAUAGUCGCAAAUAAAAUUUGGUACUUGGAAGAAUUUAAGUUCUUUUUUGUACGAAUACCAUGUAUGAAUCCAUUUGAAUGUGAUAGAAUAGUUGCAAAUAAAAUUUCGUACUUAAAAGAAUUUAAGUUCUUUUUUGUACCAAUCCUUGUA